Long non-coding RNA from Gasterosteus aculeatus aculeatus (three-spined stickleback), 1896 nucleotides. NCBI's taxonomy places the organism in Eukaryota, Metazoa, Chordata, Actinopteri, Perciformes, Gasterosteidae. The record is from Ensembl.
CCUGGUUUUGAGAGGUUGGCCAGCGUUACAAAGUGUUCCUUCAGAAAGGCUUCCUGGUCUGGAGUCUGGGGAACCAGUUGAGAGGUCAUGACAUCUGGUCCUCCUCCUGCUGCGCCUCCUCCGUCCUCGUCCUCCUCCAGCUCAGAGGAGUUUCCAUCCACACUGAGAGGCUCUGAGUCUACGAGGACGGAGACAGGUUAGGGGUGAGAGACAGACAAGAGAGGUCUGUCUGCCUCGCUUCAUCUGUCUGUCUCACCGUUUCCUGCAGGUUUGUCUCUCUGUAUCUGUCCAUGUCCUGCAGGUUUGUCUCUCUGUAUCUGUCUAUGUCCUGCAGGUUUGUCUCUCUGUAUCUGUCCAUGUCCUGCAGGUUUGUCUCUCUGUAUCUGUCUAUGUCCUGCAGGUUUGUCUCUCUGUAUCUGUCUAUGUCCUGCAGGUGUGUCUCUCCGUAUCUGUCUAUGUCCUGCAGUUUGUCUCUCUGUAUCUGUCUAUGUCCUGCAGGUGUGUCUCUCCGUAUCUGUCUAUGUCCUGCAGGUUUGUCUCUCUGUAUCUGUCUAUGUCCUGCAGCUGUGUCUCUCCUUAUCUGUCUGUCUCCCGGUGUCGGUCUCACCAUCUCCUGCAGGUCUCACUGGACUGGACAGCCUGGAGCUGAAUCCCAGUGAGCAGCCGCUGUCUGGACUGGGUUUGUCCUGAUGUUUGUCUGCAGCAGUAGGACACGCCUCCUUCACCUGGAACUCACUGACAGGAAGGGGCAGCGUUUAGAGGGGCGGCGUUCCAACAUCCUACAAGCAGAAUUUAUUCACCUGGGACAAACUACUUCCUAAAAUGGGACAUUGAACUCUGACCCUGUUUAUCAUAUUCAAUUAAUUGUCCUUAAAUCCUUUUGUAAGGAGACGGUGUAAAUAUAAACGACCUGAUGACCUGCUUGUGUUUCAAUCUCUUCUCUCCUCUUUUUCUGCUUCUGUCUCUGCUGCCAAAAGCUCUUUCUACCGAUCCAGAAUCCAAUCUUCAUUUUCUAACCCAAAAAAACUAUUUUCGAUAUUCUCCAACCUCCUCCAACCCCCUAGUCCUCCUCCCCCCUUCUUCUGGGUGACUGUCACUACUUUACCAAGAAAAUAGCUGACAUACGCUCCUCUUUCUCAAACCCACCUCCUAUUUCUUGCUUCCCACUGGCUUCACCUCUAUCGCCCUCACUUUCCUCUUUCACCCCCCUGUCUCCUAACCAAGUUCUUACCCUAGUAACCUCUGACCCUCCGACCACCUGCCCUCUUGACCCCAUUCCAUCACAUCUUCAACGGACGCACCUAUCGGGUAACCUGGAGAGGAUCUGUGUUGAACCUUGUCCUCUUACUACUGGAGUUCCUCAGGGUUCCGUCCUGGGUCCCCUCCUCUUCUCUCUCUACACCAACUCUCUCAUUCGCUCACUUGGCUUCUCCUACCACAGCGAUGCUGAUGACACCCAACUAAUUCUCUCCUUCCCUCACUCGGAUCUCUGCCUGUCUGACUGACAUCUCUCAGUGGAUCCGCCCACCAUCUGAAAAUCAACCCCGACAAGAUGGAACUACUUCUCUUUCCAGGAAAAGAUUCUCCUUCACAGGACCUGACUGUUAACUUUGGCGACUCCGUGUUAACGUCCACUUUGACUGCAGGAACCUCGGCGUGACGUCGACAGCCGACUCUCCCUGACUCCAACAUCACUGACAACACCCUGUAGAUACUCGCUCUACAACAUGAGGAGAACACGUCCUCUUCUCACUCAGAAGGUACUGAUUCAGGCUCUUGUCGUCUCCCUCCUGGACCACUGUAACUCUCUCCUGCAGGUCUCCUGCUACCUCCAUUCCACCUCUGCAGCUCAUCCAGAAUGCAGCAGCUCCACUGGUCUUUAACCUUCCUAAGUUC